This 12302-nucleotide long non-coding RNA is filed under the name Homo sapiens (human). RNAcentral describes it as "non-protein coding lnc-RGMA-28:1". Lineage: Eukaryota; Metazoa; Chordata; Mammalia; Primates; Hominidae. The record is from RNAcentral.
AGAAUGCUGGCUGUGCGAGUCUCCCAAGGUGCGAGCUUUCUUUCUCUCUGAAUUAGGAGGUGAAACCAUUUGGAAGAGCCAUUGUAAAGGGGAGGGCUUUGGGCUGUGCAUACUCCUCAUAUCCAGGUGAACAGCAAGAAUAUUGCUUCAAGCUGAAAUGGUACACUUUGAAAAAAACCUCGUGCUUCUUUCAAGAAGAUACAAACUCUUUAGAACACAUACUUCUUGUUAUUAUUUUACUUCAAGUUCUGGGAUACAUGUGCAGAACGUGCAGAAACACUAUCAUUUAGCAGAACAGAGACCCAGAAAAGUUUAGCACUGAGAAUCUCCAUGCAACAGGUAAACAGGUCAUUUUUAAAAAAAAUCCAAGUUGUGCAUGACUACAUCUAUAUUGAAACUCCAAAAACAAUUUGAUACUUAGAAUUUACCAAGAAUUCAGCCACAGCAUUAGGAGAGGCCGUGAAACUAACCAUCUGGAAGACCAGAGACUGCUAGUGGGUCCCUACUGGUUUCUUACAUUAAUCAGAAAAGUUUCACCACAAGGUUACACUUAGGAAUCCAGAUGGCAUUCAAAUGCUCCAGGGCCCCUAUCACUAUUUUCUUUCCUCCACUACCUUCUUCUUAUCAUAAAAAUAUCCAGUUGAAAAUUCUAUGUCUCAUAGGAAGCUACUGGGAAACAAGCAACUCAUGCAUUUACGAAAUAAAAAGGGACAUUCUCAGUGACACUUUCUCAACAACAUGGCUGCAUUCUUUUUUUUUUUUUGAGAGAUGGAGUGUCGCUCUAUUGCCCAGGCUGCAGUGCAGUGGCACAAUCUUGGCUCACUGCAACCUCCGCCUCCUGGGUUCAAGCAAUUUUCUGCCUCAGCCUCCUGAGUAGCUGGGAUUACAGGUGCCUGCCACCACGCCCGGCUAAUUUUUGUGUUUUUAGUAGAGACAGGGUUUCACCAUCUUGGCCAGGCUGGUCUUGAACUCCUGACCUCGUGAUCCACCCGCCUCGGCCUCCCAAAGUGCUGUGAUUACAGGAAUGAGCCACCGUGCCUGGCCACAGUAAUGUUAUUAAAACACUGUGACUCUGUUUUCCCGUGACUUUCUGCGGUGAUCUGGGUGAGAGAGGUUUGUUGUUCAGGAGGAGAACGAAGAAGGUGUGAAGACCAGCCUCUGUGGAUACUCAUCUUCAUGGCAACUUCACUGCCCCCAAUACAGAAUUAUUUGCUUUUUAUAACACCUCAGCCUCCUUUACCACAGCCACAAAAAUGUCAGACUCACAUUUCAAUCUUAGAUCACUACUUCCUGGCUUUUCGGCCCUUUCUCACUCUAUACACCACACUCCACUUACUUUUCAACUUUACCAAGACUUCUAGUGCCUGAUCCCUGCACUUCUACUCUCAGGACAUUCCUGGCGUCUUUUCCUUUCUGUGCUUAACCUAGAACUCUAUGGAUAAUAUCCCAAAUAUCAUCAAACCGGCAUUAUCCAUGGCCUCAUGCUCUCUACCUUCUACUUCUGCUGGGGCCAGCCUCAAGGGCAUGAGACCAUACACCCACAUAGCACCACAUCCUCAGAAGGUGGCCCUCAUCAGUGGCUUAUGAUUUUCUACUCAUAAUCUUAAAAUUUUGUAUAACUGUCUUUGCAUUUGUAUUUUGCUGGUGAAGUCCAAUGGGUCAAUGAACAUGUGUCAGGGGCUGGGACCCUCUGUUCAUGCAUGGACCUACCUGCCACCACCUGUUCACCACCUUGGGAUAAGUUUUUACCUGUCUGCUCCCUCACCUCUACUAAAAAAAUCACUGCUGCCCUUCACCUGCACUGAAUCCUGGAGAAACACACAAGAUGAUCGAGGUUGGGCACCUGCACUUCAAGUCAUGAGCUAUGGGUGUCUACACCAACCUCAAGAGUACCCUGGAGCCACAGGGAGCAUCUCAGCAAUAAAUGGCCAAUAAAAAAUACCUUCACAGGUAAAGAGAGAGAUCAUGAAAGAAAGGAAAAUACCUUUCUUCUGCCUUUUUUUUUUUUUUGAUGGGAGUCUCGCUUUGUCACCCAGGUUGAAGUGCAAUGACACAAUAUCGGCUCAUUGCAACCUCUGCCUCCCAGGUUCAAGCGGCUCUCCAGCCUCAGCCUCCCAUGUAGCUGGGAUUACAAGCACCCACCAUCAUGACUGGCUAAGUUUUGUAUUUUUGUAGAGAUGGGGUUUGGCCACGUUGGCCAGGCUGUUCUUGAACUCCUGACCUCAGGUGAUCUGUCCUCCUCAGCCUCCCAAAGUGCCAGGAUUAUAGACAUGAGCCACCGCACUCAGCCUUCACUGCUUUUUGAACAAGGGGCCCCUAUAUUCAUUUUGCACUAGGUGCCACAAAUGAGGAAGUCAUCCUUGACCUUGGCCUUCCAGCAGGGUCUGACAAAGUUGUGGGCUGGCUGUGCUUCUAAUCCCAUCUCGACAUCACCUUCCAAGCUCACUGGUUGGUUGUUGGCAGAAUUCAUCUCCUUGUGGCUGUUGACCUGAGGUCCUGUUUCUUGACCAAGGACUCUCUCAACCCCUAUAGGCAGUUCUUAAGUUCAGGUGAUAAAGAUGCUUCCAUUUUCAAAACCAGCUCUUCCAUCCCUCCUGUGGAAUUUCUCUCACUUCAAAAAGGCCCUGCCUCUUUUAAGGGCUUGGUGAUGAGGUCAGGCUCAGCAGAUAAUUUCUCUACUGAUUAACUCAAAGCCAACUGAUUAGCGACCUUAAUUAUAUUUGCUAUAUCCCCAUGUGCCAUGUAAGGUCACAUAAUCACAGUGAUGUCCCAUCUAAUUUAAAGGUUUCACUCACACUUACAAGGAGGAACUAAGACAAGGCAUGCAUAGGAGGGGAUAGGGAUCCUGGAGACUGUUUUAGAAUACUGCCUACCACACUAUCUAUUCAAGGAGAGAGGGACAUCUCUAGAUAAGGUGUCAUUUCAAAAUGGUAAGCGAUGGGAGCUGUAUGCUCCAGGUGCCAUGAGGCACAGAGGAGGAGCUCUUGACCAGAGUCGAUGAUGUAAGAAAUCCUGGCCAAUAUGAGGCCACUGGAGUCUUAAAAGAACUAGCAAGUGACACUGAGGCUCAGCUGAAGUUGGAGACUAUGAGGUAUGAUGUGUUUGCUGCAGACAUUGGCAGCUGAGGAGAGUCCAUGCAGAGUUUGUGACAUUAAACCACACUAGUCUUCUGCUGGAAGGCAGAGGCCAGGCUCACUACCUAAUUUUUGUUGUUUUAAACUGCUACAUUCUUGGUGAUUUAUUACACAGCAACAGAACAUUAAUACACAUUGGAAGUUGUUCAGUGUCAGAAACUGAAACUAUUUUUCUCCUUUUUGUUCCUCACCCACAUUCACAAGUCCCAAUUCUUAACAAGGGUUCAAUGUUACCAUGGUUGUAUGCUCUUUGGAUCUUUAAUUUAUUCAAGGGAGGCAAUAAUGAGUUAUCAUGAUUAAAUCCCAUUAUAAAUAGCAUAAUUAUUAUUAUAUUGUUUUCAUAAACUUCACCUCAAGAGGCCGAAGGGGGACCUUCCUUUCCUGUGUCUUUCCCUCACACCUCACACUCCACAACCUGCACCGACACACAGAUAAACUUUCUUUUCAACAUUCCCCUACACUUUUCAAGAUAAAGCUCAUGUUCUCUUCUCAGACACGACAAAAAAAAAAUUAGCUUCCAGAAGCUUACAUCUCAGGAAAUUGUUAUUCACAAAGUGCUUUGAAAUCUCCAGCACGAAAAAUACAAAGAAUAAAGUGUCUGCUGAUGUACACAUAUUAAAAACAUAUGCCAUAAUAUAAGCCCAAGGAUCUCAGAUCCACAAAUAAUGCAGAAGGCAGCAUUUAAUUUCCUGGUGGAGAGGCUUCCCAUUAUUUUCUUCCUCUAACUCCCCUUUCCAUCAAAGUGAAGAAUAAACACAAUUGUCCUACACAAGCAAAAUAUAGGGAGCUAAAGCCAUUAUUUGAGAACAUUUGGAAUCUAAAUGUAGAUAAACGUAUAAACUUACAGGACCUUUGCAAUCGUGAUCAACUGUGGUUAAGAAUUGGUGGUUCUGAAUGUUAGAAAAGUGCUCAGUACUGCAAAGGGCCAUGCUCACGGCAGAUCUCAACUGUAGAUCUGCUCAAUUAACUUUUUUUUAAAUUUAAGUAACAUAUAUAUAACAUAACAUUUACAUUUUAAGUGUACAAUUCAGUCAUAUUAAACAUGUUCACAUUGUAGUGCAAUCUCCAGAACAUUUUCACCUGGAAAAUUGAAAUUCUGUACUCGUUAAACAAUAACCUCCUACUUCCAUUUUCUUCCAGCCUCUGGGAUCACCCAUUCUUUUCUGUCUCUAUAAAUUUUACUACUCCAGAUACUUCACAUAAGUGGAAUCAUAUGAUAUUGGUCUUUUUGUGACUGGUAUAUUUCACUUAGCAUAAUGCCUUCAGGUUCACCCAUGUGAUAACACGCAUCAAAAGUUCCUUCAUUUUUAAGGCUGAAUAAUAUUCAGCUGUAGGUAUGUGCCACCUUUUUGUUUAUCCACUCAUUUGUCCACGGACACUUGGGUGAUUCCCACCUUUUGGCUAUUAUAAAUACUACUUCUAUGAACAUGGGUGUGCAAAUAUCGCUUUGGGACCCUGUUUUCAAUUCUUUUGGGCAUAUACCAACAAGGAGAAUUGCUGGAUUAUAUGGUAAUUCUAUUUUUAAUUAUUUGAGGAGCUGUUGAACUGCUUUCCAUAGUGACUGUACCACUAGGAAUCUGGCUAGUUUUUCAAAUGAUAAUUUCCCAUUCUUUCAUUAUUAAAAUAAUAUUUUUACGUAUCAUUUAUAGAGACUAAUUGUUUUGUGAAUUAUGUACAACUGACAUUUGGUGACCCAGAUGAAACGCUAACUUUAAAACUACAGAUUAAUUUUAUGUAGUUUAUUGAAAAAAAGGAGGAGAGGGGAGGCUUACGAACAUGAUGGACAAGUUCAAAUUCUUAAAGAAUGAAGAUAUUUUAAAAUGUGUUAGAUUUUAAAUUCCUACUCUAUCAGCCAGAUCAGGCUGCCAUAACAAAUACCAGAGAAUGGGUGGAUUAAACAACAGAAAUUUAUCUUCUCACUGUUCUAGAGGCUGAAGAGUCUAAGAUUAAGGUGUUCACCUGUUCCUUUUAUGGUGAGGGCUCUCCUCCUGGCUUGCAGACAGCCAUCUUCUCACUAUGUCUUUACAUGAUGCAGAGAGAAAGAGAAAGAGAAAGAGACUCUUGUUUUCUUCUUCUAUGGCCACAAAUUCUAUAUAGAAUUAGGGGCCCAUCCUUAAGACCUCAUUUAAAUUUACUAUCUCCUGAUAGCCCUAUCUGCAAAUGCAGCCACAUUGAGGGUUAGAGAUUAAAUGUGCAAAUUUGGGGAAAUAUAAUUCAGUCCAUGGCACCCACCAACAGUACAGAAGCAUUUCAAUUUCUCCACAUCCACACCAACAAUUGUUUUAUGCUUUUUCUGGCAGUGGCCAUUCUGAUGAAUGUGAGGAAUCUGGCCAGUUUUUUUUUAAAUGAACUCAAUAAUUUCCUAUUGUUUUAUUUCAAAAUAAUAUAUAUACGUAUAUAUACAUUUAUAGACACUAAUUGUUUUGUGAAUUAUGUACAAUUGAUAUUUGGUGCCCCAGAUGAAACUCCUAACUUUAAAACUAUAGAUUAAUUUUAUGUAGUUUAUUGAAAAAAAGCUGGGGAGGGGAGGCUUAUGAACAUGAUGGGCAAUAAGUUCAAAUUCUUAAAGAAUGAAGAUGAUUUUUUAAAAUGUGUUAUACUUUUGCACUUUUUCACAUUCCUUACCAUGCUAAGACUCAUUCACUCUCAGAGCCAAGGAUCUUUGUGGUUCUCAAUGUAUUGGUGAUAAAGUAUAAGCCACAGGAGCGAUAGGUGUCAGGCCUAAUUUCAGUUAUAAUUUGCUGUAUAGACAGCAGCAAGUCAUUCAGUUUCUCCCACCCCCAAUUUCUCCAUUUGUAGUACAGGAAUACUUACUCAAUCUAUGACAUAAGAUUUGUGAAAGGAUUAACUGAGGCCAAAGAUGGCAAUAUUUCAUCCAUGCUGAUGAAACUUUAAAUAUAUUGAGGAGAUCUUUGCAGAAAGCAUGAUUAUGGUCAGGGGCUGAAGAGUAAAUCACUGUCUCUGCUUCUUUGGAUCUGACACAGAUUUUGCACAAUUACACAUUGCACAGAGUGCUGGGAGAUAGGUGUACAAAUAUGGGGAAGGGCACCAAUGGUGAUCUUGGUGCUCAUGUCAUGUAAUGGGUAUUUAGCAAUGAUCACAAACCUUAGGAAAUUAUAUAAAGUAAAAGGCAUGAUAACCCAUUUAGUAACAAUAGUUAAACAUUUGAAAUCUUCUUAUGUAGAACAAAGAAAGCGAAAUAAAUAGUCUCAAAGCUAUGGAAACUAUUUUGUUGUCUAAACUACAGCUGGAUCAACUAUCAUAUGUUUGCUUAUCAGUUUAUUUUCUUUUUCUUUUUACUAAACUGGAAAAUAUUUUAAGUCACAAUUACAGAUUAUCAGUAAUGGCAGCAACUGUUUGGUGGCAUCUGUCAGACAAUUCCGUAUAUUUGGAUCUAAUAUGUGCCCUGAAUUAUGAAGAUGUUUCUCCCAGAAGACUCCUUUUAGCACAACAUCAGAUGCCAUGUUCAAUCUCACCUGACAUUCAAAAGCUGGAAUGGGAGAUGGCUGCAUUGGAUUCUUAAUCCUCUCUUGGUUGUACUCAGCCUUGAAAAAUGUUUCUUCAUGUGUAGUACAGAAUUUAAAGUACUUUUAAUAGCCUCAAUAAUAUAUCAUCAGUUCAUUUUUGUUAAAAUGAAAAAUAUUGAGCCCCCUUAAAAAUGUUAAUGCUUUUUCUUUUCAAAAAUAAUAAUCAUUAUAUGAAUACCAUAUAAUUAGGUUCAGGUAAUUCAAAAUAAUGAGUAACUAAGAUGUAUCUUUUGAAGUCAUAAAAAGAGUCUUCUGGCUUUAUCCAUCUCAUGAAAAAAGCUUUUGUAUAUAAUUUUACAGUUAAUAAACCCAAAUGAUAAAGUUUCAUUAGCAUGGAUGAAAUAUUGUUUUCUUUGGAAAAUGAGAUUCUUGGCUUCACUAAUAAUUUCUUCCUCCAGGACACUGAAGAGGCUGGCCUCAAUAUUAUCAUAGUAACAACUUUCUAUAGAACUUCUUAAUACUGAAUGCACAUUGGGGUAAACUUGUUGGCCAACUAUUCUCUGUUGUCCUCCUACAACCUACUUUAUUCCUAUAACAAUGGUGUUUAUUGCUGCACACUUAGAGGGUGGUCUGUUGUCCCUGGUUCCAAUGUGACUUUUCUAAUCUUACUUCACCUUAUGCCCAAUGAUCAAUAAUUAAUUAAAUACUCACAUCUUCUGGAGCACAGCUUGUCAACAAUAAACACAACUUCAUCAAGCACUCUUCUUUCAUAUAUGCACUAUAUAUAACAGAGUAUUAAAAUUGAGGUUUUUGUCUCAAUUUCUCGGAGUCCCCUCUUACCCAUCCCUAAAAAUAGCAUCCAUCAAAUCCAUAUUCCCUAAAAAAAAAUUAGGCAAUCUUUGCAAAGAGUAUAUAUAAAAACUUGUUUUGCAACCUUCUCCUAUCACCUACCUCCAGACUAUAAAAUCUAAGAUAGAAAUUGGAGGAUUUCUUUGAGAAUUUUUUUAAUGCUACAGCCUGUUUUUUUCACUACUUUUCCUAAAGGGCAGAAGAAUGAAAUACUUCUCCUUAUCUUAAAUCCGUUGAGGUAGGCUUCAUAGAGAUUACUUAGAGAAUUCUAGUAUAUAAUUCUUAAAGUUUGGAAGGCUAAGGUGGCACAUAGUGGACAACAUUUAAAAACAGGAGGCUAAGUAUAUAUUAACCAAGUGGAAAAUCUAGGUAGGAAAGUCUGUCAUUACUGGCCAAAGGAGAAAGAAGGGGAACUAAAUGGCCCAUGUUAGAAGCCUGUUGCACUUACACUCAUGAAGCCACCAGAAUCAGUGAGGGUUUUCUUACAGUCUAGAUAGGGACAAGGUCAGGGAGAGGGAGCAGCCUGGAGACAUAUUAAUUUUUCCCAGAUGAACUGCCUGGAGGAAAUAUUGAACUAACAUAGGAUGAAACACAGCAUAGCUGAUAGAUACGUGAGUGACUUUUUGGAAGAAACUAAAUUGUUCCCAUCAUGAGAAGUAGACUCUAAGGUCUCGUGGGGGCUAAUGGUAGAAUCCUUACUAGGCCCCAAAGAAGGAGAAUUUAUCUACCAUUAGAGACCAAACAAAGUUAGCUCAAGAUAUCCACCAUGGCCAGAGGAAACCAAUCCAACAUGGCCAGAGGAAAGCAAAUCAUACUGACCCCAGUCAAGAGGAAAACACAGCCUUGGCUCACAAUGAUGAGGGAGGGGAAGAAAAACUCAUCAAGGGAAUAAAGAAGGUGGUGGCCACUUUUCAUGGGUUCUAUGCGAAACUAUCAAAGCUGACUCAAACCAAGGGGAGAGAAGGAGCUUACUUGAGAUGUGUUUUUGCUUAUUGACUAGGCAUUUAAUUCCUGAACAGAGAUUAUUUAAAUCUUAAAGAUUAAAGGAUGUUUUUCAAGUCUGAAAAUCAUAGGACUCAAAUUAGCUUUCAAUUCAGGGGCCAGGAAAUGGCAAGCCCCACUGUGUGAGUUUGAAAGGGUGAAGAAUAAUGGAGGGAAGGUGUGAGAGAAUAAAGUUUUUUCUUUUGGCUCCAGGUAAGUUAUGUAUACCCAUGCCAGAGCUGCAAGAACACCCUCGUCAUACAACUGCAGCUCCCACCUUACGAUCAGUGUUACCUACACAACGAUAAUAUUACUUGAUAAAAUAAUUUUAUUGGCUGGGCCCAGUGGCUCAUGCCUGUAAUUUCAGCACUUUGGGAGGCCUAGGCAGGUGGAUCACCUGAGGUCAGGAGUUCUAGACCAGCCUGACCAACAAGAUGAAACCCCGUCUCUACUAAAAAUAAAAAAAGCCAAGCAUGGUGGCGGACGCCUGUAGUCCCAGCUACUAAGGAGGCUGAGGCAGGAGAAUUGCUUGCACCCGGGAGGCAGAAGUUGCAGUGAGCCAAGAUUGUGCCAUUGCACUUCAGCCUGGGCAACAAGAGUGAAACUCCAUUAAAAAAACUAAUGAUCAAUUGAUAGUUUUGUUUUUCUUCCAAAAAUAAUAUAUAUUUUUUACAUGUGACUAAUUUCACAAGUCUCCUGUGUAACUUGUGGCUAUUCAAGGUGAAAGUUGUGCAACUUUGAAAGACCCCUCUGUAAUUCCAGUUUGUUCUUUAUUUUUACUAAAAAGCAUGACAGGUAUUUUGUGCUCAUUUUAGGGAGAAAAAAAAAACAGAACUAAAUUGGCUUAUCAUAAAGGUGAUAGAUUAUGUUUUGUAAGAACACAAAGCUCCUGUUUCUUGUUAGUCUUUGACUGAACUUGACACUAGUUAACAGUCUGGGGACCAGUGAAAGGUUAAUAUGUACUGUAAAAUUCAAUUCUCAGAUAUUCAUUGUCAUGCUUCUAAUUACACUUCUUUUUGGCCACCAGGCCAAAUUCAAUUGUAACAGUACAUGGAGGUUCACAAUAUGUAUUCACACUGGAGACGUCGGCAUUGUUUCUAUUGAUGCUAAUAUUCUAGGUUGUAAUAGUGCACUACUUUUGACAGCUCAAUGAACUAGCCAAAUAUCUAUUUUGGGCAGUUGAAGAUACAAAGCAGUAUAGUCAUUGACAUAGUUCGGAUGUUUGCCCUUGUCCAAAUCUCAUGUUGAAAUGUAAUCCCCAGUGUUGAACGUGGGGCCUGGUAAGAGGUGAUUGGAUCAUGGGGACAGAUUCCCCAUGGCUUGAUACCGUCCUCGCGAUAGUGAGUUCUUGCAAGAUUUGUUUGUUUAAGUAUAUGGCGCCCCUUUGCUCCUGCUUUUGCCAUGUGACAUUCCUGCUCUAUUCCUGCUCCUACUUGGCCUUCUGCCAUGAGUAAAAGCUCCCUGAGGCCCCCAAAGGCUUAGCAAAGCUGACGCCAUGCUUGUACAGCCUGCACAACUAUCAGCUAAUUAAGCCUCUUUUCUUUAUAAAUUAUACGGCCCCGGGUGUUUACAGCAAUGCAAGAACAACCUAAUAUAGUCAUGCUAGCAAAAAUUAAAAACUACGUAGUUAAUGAAACAUAGAAAAUAAAAUUUCUAAUGAUUUGUAAAAUGUUAGCAGGGAUGAGUUGUACCUUGGUAAAUUGAUAUAAAUAAACAUUAUCUGACUAAUUCACUCUUUGUUUGAUAAGAACUAUCUUUAAGAAACUGAUAAUAAUGAGGCAAGAAAAUUUCUAUUAAAAUAACAAUAAAGCUUACAUUUUAAACUUAAAACGUAUGUGAACUACAUUAUUUAAUUUUUUUCCUUUGAAACUUUCAAACUUGUCACAGAUCACUCCCAAGUGCUGGUACCACAGCACCAUGUCAUCCUCAUGCUCUGCAGAAUAGCAUGGCACAUCACUGGAUGUCUUCUUGUUGAUUGCCUUUUCUAAGGCAGACAUCGACCUAGGCAUUUGGAACAUAGUGAUGAAGAACACAAUCAUGGAACCUACCCUCCAAAAGCUUACACUCUAGCAAAGAAGUCAUAUAAAAAUCCAUAAUUAGGCCAGGCGCAGUGGCUCACUCCUUUAAUCCCAGCACUUUGGGAGGCAAUGAGGGCGGAUCACCUGAGGUCAGGAGUUCGAGACCAGCCUGACCAACAUGAUGAAACCCUGUCUCUACUAAAAAUACAAAAAUUAGCUGGGCAUGUUAACGCAUGCCUGUAAUCCCAGCUACUUGGGAGGCUGAGGCAGGAGAAUCACUUGAACCCGGGAGGCAGAGGUUGCAGCGAGCCAAGGUAGUGCCAUUGCACUCCAGCCUGGGCAACAGGAGCAAAACUCCAUAUCAAAAAUAAAUAAAUAUAAACAAAAUAAAAACCCAUAAUUAAAAUAGUAUCAGGAACACUUGACCUGAUAAAGAGGUGGAUCUUGUGAAGUCAUAUAACCCGAGCCCUGAGGUAUGAGUAAAGGAUAGUCACUUAAAGCAGGGUUGGCAGAAGAGCAAUUUCAUUUGCAUCCAUUGUGCUUUCUAGUUUACAGCAUGUGCAUUGUGCUUGUGCUGAGAUGUGAAGCAUUUUAUCAGCAUUAUUAAGCCUAUCAUGUGGGAGACAUGUAAAAGCACUGAAAGUAAUGGAACUACUGGUAAAAAAAUACAUACUCUUAUAACGAAAACAUCAACAAUUUUAUUUUUUUUACCAAACUUUUUAAAAUUUUGAGAUACAAAGAGCUCUCUUGCACCCUUAUUCCAGUUUCCCCCAAUGGUAACAUAUUGGAAACUAUAAUAUAAUAUUAUAACCAGGAUAAUGGCAUUGAUACAGUCAAAAUAGAGAACAUUUUCAUCAUCACAAGGGUUUAUAAUGGCACCCUUUUAUAGUCACACUUAGCUACCUUCUCUCAACCCCUUCCUUAACCCCUGAUUCCCCUUAUCUGUUCUACAUUUCUAUAAUAUUGUCAUUUCAAGGAUCUUAUGUAAAGGAAAUUAUAAACUAUGUAACUUUUUGAGAUUGAAGAUUUUUUUAAUUACUCAACACAAUUCUCUGGAGAUUCAUCCAGGUUGAGUGUGUCAAUAAUUCAUUCCUUUUCAUUGCUUAGGAAUACUUCUUUGUAUCGAUGAACCACAGUUAGCUUAACCAUUCACUCAUUGAAGAACAUUCUGGGUUAUUUUCAGUUUUGGUCUAUUAUAAAUAAAAUAGCCACAAACAUUCAUGUAUAGGUUUUUGUGUGAACAUAAGCCUUCCUGUCUCUGGUAUAAAUCCAGCACUUGUUAAUAGCACAUGUCCACAUGUUAAUAGCAUGUUUAGUUUUUUAACAAACUGCCAAACUGUUUUCCAGAAUGGCUGUAACAUCUAACAUUCUCAUUGGCAAUGUAUGAGUGAUCCAGAUUCUCUGCAGCAUUGCCAGUAUUUGCUUUUGACUCUCUAUCUAUCUAUAUAGUCAAAAUAUAUACAUAUAUUUGCUUUUGACUAUAUAUAUAUAUUUGCCUUUCACUAUUUUUUGGUUUUGCAUAUAUACAUAUACAUAAUUCAUUGUGUAUAUACAUAUAUUGUGUGUACAUAUGUAUAUUAUGUGUGUUUCUACAUAUAUAUGUACACACACAUAUGUAUACAGUUUUUAAAUUUUAGCCAUACUGUUAGGUGUGCAGUGGCUAUCUUGUGAUUUUAAUUUAUAUUCCCCCAAAGACUAAUCAAAUUGAACAUUUUUUCAUAUGUAUAUGUGCCAUCUGUAUAUUCCCUUGGGUAAAAUAUCUCUUCAUGUUUUUUCCCCCACAUUUUGUAAAUGGAUUAUCAUUAUUUACUGUUGAGUUUUGAGAGUACUUAAUAUAUUUUUAGAUACCAGUC